GGUGAGUAACACGUGGAUAACCUACCUAUAAGACUGGGAUAACUUCGGGAAACCGGAGCUAAUACCGGAUAAUAUAUUGAACCGCAUGGUUCAAUAGUGAAAGACGGUUUUGCUGUCACUUAUAGAUGGAUCCGCGCCGCAUUAGCUAGUUGGUAAGGUAACGGCUUACCGAGGCAACGAUGCGUAGCCGACCUGAGAGGGUGAUCGGCCACACUGGAACUGAGACACGGUCCAG
Molecule: ribosomal RNA, 235 nt
Filed under: uncultured Staphylococcus sp.
Lineage: Bacteria; Bacillati; Bacillota; Bacilli; Caryophanales; Staphylococcaceae
Description: partial 16S ribosomal RNA
Rfam family: Bacterial small subunit ribosomal RNA
Source: RNAcentral